AAACCGCCCCCUAAGUUUUACAAUUGUAGCAGUUUUGGCCCUCCAAGGCCAAUUUUUGGUAAAAAAAAAUAACACGUGGCACCUCACUUAGGGUGCCACGUCAGUGUAGACUGAGUCAAAAUUGGCCUUGGGGGCCAAAACUCUCACACAUGCAAAACUUAGGGGGCGGUUU
Molecule: microRNA precursor, 172 nt
Organism: Medicago truncatula (barrel medic)
Lineage: Eukaryota; Viridiplantae; Streptophyta; Magnoliopsida; Fabales; Fabaceae
Rfam family: MIR2619 microRNA precursor family
Source: Rfam